GUUUUUCCAUAUUUUCAAUUCCAAUUUCAAUCUCCCUCUCGUUUUUUUUGUUUGUUUUCUUAAAUGUUUUUCUGUUUUGCUAAGUGUUAAGAUCGUUUUUCUGUCUUUUUAGUUGGAAAAUUUAUGUUGAUAGGUCAAGGGUUGAGAAAAUUUGUUAGGGUUUCUUUUCCUUUUCAUUUUAUUGUAAUUUUUAUAAGGUUACUUGGCUUAAUGAUAAUGAAAUGGUUUUGAUUUGAUAUGAAAAAGCUUUAAU
RNAcentral lists this unclassified non-coding RNA (253 nucleotides) under Hevea brasiliensis (rubber tree). The record is from RNAcentral. Lineage: Eukaryota; Viridiplantae; Streptophyta; Magnoliopsida; Malpighiales; Euphorbiaceae.